This is a non-coding RNA of Monopterus albus (swamp eel), 74 nucleotides long. The record is from Ensembl. Lineage: Eukaryota; Metazoa; Chordata; Actinopteri; Synbranchiformes; Synbranchidae.
UCUGAUGUGGCAGAACCCGGUCCUGCAAUAGUCCUAAGCACUUUCCCGUGGAGGUUCAAAUCCUCUCAUCAAAA